UUUACCCAUUCCGUUUGACCCCUCCCUUACAAAAGCCUGAUGUUAGGUAAUGUGCAGUGUCCACAACAGAUUGUCUGAUGAAAAUAACGAGCAGAAAUACCUUAAUAGGCUUGUAGCUCAGGCGGUUAGAGCGCACCCCUGAUAAGGGUGAGGUCGGUGGGUCAAGUCCACUCAGGACUACCCAAUGGUAUCCCAGGCCAUCCAACCUUUCCGGUGAAAGCGGGGGUUAUCCUUCACUUCUACCUUUUAUUGCUUACCCCACAUCCAAAACCUAUUUACCAAUAU
RNAcentral lists this transfer RNA (285 nucleotides) under Brenneria goodwinii. Its description in RNAcentral is "partial may contain 16S ribosomal RNA, 16S-23S ribosomal RNA intergenic spacer, and 23S ribosomal RNA". The stretch from base 107 to 180 matches the Rfam family "tRNA". Lineage: Bacteria; Pseudomonadati; Pseudomonadota; Gammaproteobacteria; Enterobacterales; Pectobacteriaceae. The record is from RNAcentral.